UACGUAGGGUGCGAGCGUUGUCCGGAAUUAUUGGGCGUAAAGAGCUCGUAGGCGGUUUGUCACGUCUGCUGUGAAAUCCCGAGGCUCAACCUCGGGCCUGCAGUGGGUACGGGCAGACUGGAGUGCGGUAGGGGAGAAUGGAAUUCCUGGUGUAGCGGUGGAAUGCGCAGAUAUCAGGAGGAACACCGAUGGCGAAGGCAGUUCUCUGGGAAUAUCCUGACGCUGAGGAGCGAAAGUGUGGGGAGCGAACAGG
This 253-nucleotide ribosomal RNA is filed under the name uncultured bacterium. RNAcentral describes it as "partial 16S ribosomal RNA". It matches the Rfam family "Bacterial small subunit ribosomal RNA", at positions 524 to 776 of the family's 1533-position model. The record is from RNAcentral.